GAUGAACGCUGGCGGCGUGCCUAAUACAUGCAAGUCGAGCGAACGGACGAGAAGCUUGCUUCUCUGAUGUUAGCGGCGGACGGGUGAGUAACAUAUGGAUAACCUACCUAUAAGACUGGGAUAACUUCGGGAAACCGGAGCCAAUACCGGAUAAUAUUUUGAACCGCAUGGUUGAAAAGUGAAAGACGGUCUUGCUGUCACUUAUAGAUGGAUCCGCGCUGCAUUGGCUAGUUGGUAAGGUAACGGCUUACCAAGGCAACGAUGCAUAGCCGACCUGAGAGGGUGGUCGCCCACCCUGGAACUGAGCCGCCGUCCUGGCUCCUACGGGAGGCAGCAGUAGGGAAUCUUCCGCAAUGGGCGGAAGCCUGCCGGAGCAGCGCCACGUGAGUGAUGAAGGUCUUCGGUUCGUAAAACUCUCUUAUUGGGGAAGAACAUAUGUGUAAGGAACUGUGCACAUCUUGACGGUACCUACUCAGAAAGCCCCGGCUAACUACGUG
RNAcentral lists this ribosomal RNA (497 nucleotides) under uncultured bacterium. Its description in RNAcentral is "partial 16S ribosomal RNA". It matches the Rfam family "Bacterial small subunit ribosomal RNA", at positions 28 to 507 of the family's 1533-position model. The record is from RNAcentral.